UCCUCCAAGGCUAAAUACUCCUGAUUGACCGAUAGUGAACCAGUACUGUGAAGGAAAGGCGAAAAGAACCCCUGCGAGGGGAGUGAAAUAGAACCUGAAACCGUAUGCGUACAAGCAGUGGGAGCCCCAUCACUCAAUCGUAUUGAUUGAAGUGAUAAACUUAACACUCUGAUGUGAGUUAACAACUUGCGAAGCAAGUUGGUCAACCACAAAAGAAGCAGUGUGAUUGAGUGAUGGGGUGACUGCGUACCUUUUGUAUAAUGGGUCAGCGACUUAUAUUUUGUAGCAAGGUUAACCGAAUAGGGGAGCCGUAGGGAAACCGAGUCUUAACUGGGCGUGUAGUUGCAAGGUAUAGACCCGAAACCCGGUGAUCUAGCCAUGGGCAGGUUGAAGGUUGGGUAACACUAACUGGAGGACCGAACCGACUAAUGUUGAAAAAUUAGCGGAUGACUUGUGGCUGGGGGUG
This 466-nucleotide non-coding RNA is filed under the name Pasteurellaceae bacterium 15-036681. Its description in RNAcentral is "Bacterial large subunit ribosomal RNA". It matches the Rfam family "Bacterial large subunit ribosomal RNA", at positions 456 to 823 of the family's 2925-position model. Lineage: Bacteria; Pseudomonadati; Pseudomonadota; Gammaproteobacteria; Pasteurellales; Pasteurellaceae. The record is from Rfam by way of RNAcentral.